UAUUGUUUUUGUUUUCUGUUAUCAUUUUCAUCUGCACAAAACAAGGAUAUUGGUGUUAGUUUGAUCGAGUUGCUUAUGUAUAGUUUGUUUCAUUUUUUAUCAUACUUUUAUGUAUAUAUUAUUAUGGACUCACUUAAGAGGAAAGUUUAUGCUAACCCCCCUUCAACUAACAAUGAGGGUCAAAGUUCCAAAGCUAUUUGGAGGGAUCUUAAAGCCACUGAAUACUUUAUCAAUGCAUGUUUGGAUCAAGUUACCAAGGGUCAACGUGUUGGUACUUGUUUUACCAAGAAAGAAUGGCAAGGUAUUGUUUCAUAAUUUAAUGAACAAAGUGGACUGAAUUAUGACAAGGUAAAAUUGAAGAAUAAGUAUGAUAGCUUGAGAAAGGAAUGGAAAGUAUGGUAUAACUUGUUUGAAAAAUUUACCGGAUUAGGAUGAAAUUUUGAGAAGAAUACUGUUGAUGCAUCCAAUGACUGGUGGGAGAAGAACGAAUUGGUAUGUGAAUCACAAAUAUCUUGUUUAGUAAUAGUUUUAUGUUUAUAUUUACAGUAGAUUUAUAUGUUAGGUUAUGAAUAUGCAGGAAAAUCCACAAUAUGCAAAGUUUAGAGACAAGGGACUUGAUUUUCCUCACCAACUAACCAAACUUUUUUUUUUUUAACAAGACCAACUAACCACACUUGUCAAGGAUGUAGUGGCUAAUGGAGAGCAUGCUUGGGCACCAUCAAGUGGUGCAUUGCCUAAUGAGAACUUGGGUAAUG
RNAcentral lists this long non-coding RNA (755 nucleotides) under Medicago truncatula (barrel medic). RNAcentral describes it as "long non-coding RNA (MTRU_LNC001727)". Lineage: Eukaryota; Viridiplantae; Streptophyta; Magnoliopsida; Fabales; Fabaceae. The record is from RNAcentral.